RNAcentral lists this ribosomal RNA (499 nucleotides) under uncultured bacterium. RNAcentral describes it as "bacterial SSU rRNA". It matches the Rfam family "Bacterial small subunit ribosomal RNA", at positions 18 to 509 of the family's 1533-position model. The record is from RNAcentral.
CCUGGCUCAGGAUGAACGCUAGCUACAGGCUUAACACAUGCAAGUCGAGGGGCAGCAGGAGGAAGCUUGCUUCUUUGCUGGCGACCGGCGAAUGGGUGAGUUAACGCGUAUCCAACUUCCCCCGUCUCGGGCAUAGCCCUUAGAAAUGAGGAUUAACUCCCGAUGGUGUCGCGAGAUCGCAUGAGAUUGUGACUAAAGUUGUACGGACGGGGCUGGGGAUGCGUCCCAUUAGUUAGUUGGCGGGGUAACGGCCCACCAAGACAUCGAUGGGUAGGGGUUCUGAGAGGAAGGUCCCCCACAUUGGUACUGAGACACGGACCAAACUCCUACGGGAGGCAGCAGUGAGGAAUAUUGGUCAAUGGGCGCAAGCCUGAACCAGCCAAGUAGCGUGAAGGAAGACGGCCCUACGGGUUGUAAACUUCUUUUGUCGGGGAAUAAACCGUCCCACGUGUGGGGCGCUGCAUGUACUCGGUGAAUAAGGACCGGCUAAUUCCGUGCC